GCUGCAACUGUUUAUUAAAAACACAGCACUGUGCAAAAUCGUAAGAUGACGUAUACGGUGUGACGCCUGCCCGGUGCCGGAAGGUUAAUUGAUGGGGUUAGACUUCGGUCGAAGCUCUUGAUCGAAGCCCCGGUAAACGGCGGCCGUAACUAUAACGGUCCUAAGGUAGCGAAAUUCCUUGUCGGGUAAGUUCCGACCUGCACGAAUGGCGUAAUGAUGGCCACGCUGUCUCCACCCGAGACUCAGUGAAAUUGAAAUCGCUGUGAAGAUGCAGUGUACCCGCGGCUAGACGGAAAGACCCCGUGAACCUUUACUACAGCUUGGCACUGAACAUUGACCCUACAUGUGUAGGAUAGGUGGGAGGCUUUGAAGCACGUACGCCAGUAUGUGUGGAGCCGUCCUUGAAAUACCACCCUUGUAGUGUUGAUGUUCUAACGUCGACCCCUAAUCGGGGUUGCGGACAGUGCCUGGUGGGUAGUUUGACUGGGGCGGUCUCCUCCCAAAGAGUAACGGAGGAGCACGAAGGUGGGCUAAUCACGGUUGGACAUCGUGAGGUUAGUGCAAUGGCAUAAGCCCGCUUGACUGCGAGAAUGACAAUUCGAGCAGGUGCGAAAGCAGGUCAUAGUGAUCCGGUGGUUCUGAAUGGAAGGGCCAUCGCUCAACGGAUAAAAGGUACUCCGGGGAUAACAGGCUGAUACCGCCCAAGAGUUCAUAUCGACGGCGGUGUUUGGCACCUCGAUGUCGGCUCAUCACAUCCUGGGGCUGAAGUCGGUCCCAAGGGUAUGGCUGUUCGCCAUUUAAAGUGGUACGCGAGCUGGGUUUAGAACGUCGUGAGACAGUUCGGUCCCUAUCUGCCGUGGGCGUUGGAAGAUUGAAGGGGGCUGCUCCUAGUACGAGAGGACCGGAGUGGACGAACCUCUGGUGUUCGGGUUGUGUCGCCAGACGCAUUGCCCGGUAGCUAAGUUCGGAAUCGAUAACCGCUGAAAGCAUCUAAGCGGGAAGCGAGCCCUGAGAUGAGUCUUCCCUGAUACUUUAAGUAUCCUAAAGGGUUGUCGGAGACUACGACGUUGAUAGGUCAGGUGUGUAAGUGCUGUGAGGCAUUGAGCUAACUGAUACUAAUUGCCCGUGAGGCUUAACCAUACAACACCCAAGGGGUUU
RNAcentral lists this ribosomal RNA (1158 nucleotides) under Vibrio parahaemolyticus. Its description in RNAcentral is "partial 23S ribosomal RNA". It matches the Rfam family "Bacterial large subunit ribosomal RNA", at positions 1793 to 2925 of the family's 2925-position model. Lineage: Bacteria; Pseudomonadati; Pseudomonadota; Gammaproteobacteria; Vibrionales; Vibrionaceae. The record is from RNAcentral.